Molecule: ribosomal RNA, 408 nt
Filed under: uncultured bacterium
Lineage: Bacteria
Description: bacterial SSU rRNA
Rfam family: Bacterial small subunit ribosomal RNA
Source: RNAcentral
CACGGGUGCGUAACGCGUGGGAAUCUGCCCCUUGGUUCGGAAUAACAGUUGGAAACGACUGCUAAUACCGGAUGAUGACGUAAGUCCAAAGAUUUAUCGCCGAGGGAUGAGCCCGCGUAGGAUUAGCUAGUUGGGGGGGUAACGGCCCACCAAGGCGAUGAUCAGUAGGGGUUCUGAGAGGAUUGGCCCCCACAUGGGUACUGAGAGACGGACCCAACUCCUACGGGAGGCAGCAGUAGGGAAUAUUGGGCAAUGGGCGAGAGCCUGACCCAGCCAUGCCGCGUGCAGGAUGAAGGCGCUCAGCGUUGUAAACUGCUUUUAUCAAGGAAGAACGAUGCCCUUGCGAGGGUAUGUGACGGUACUUGAGGAAUCAGCACCGGCUAACUCCGUGCCAGCAGCCGCGGUAAU